Molecule: ribosomal RNA, 467 nt
Filed under: uncultured bacterium
Lineage: Bacteria
Description: partial 16S ribosomal RNA
Rfam family: Bacterial small subunit ribosomal RNA
Source: RNAcentral
GAUGAACGCUGGCGGCGUGCUUAACACAUGCAAGUCGAACGGAAAGGCCCAAGCUUGCUUGGGUACUCGAGUGGCGAACGGGUGAGUAACACGUGGGUGAUCUGCCCUGCACUUCGGGAUAAGCCUGGGAAACUGGGUCUAUUACCGGAUAUGACCUCUUCAUGGAUGUUGUGCUGUAAAGAUUUUUGGGUGUGGUAUGAGCUCGCGGCCUAUCAGCUUGUUGGUGGGGUAAUGGCCUACCAAGGCGUUGACGGGUAGCCGGCCCGAGAGGGUGUACGACAACAUUGAGACUGAGAUACGGCCCAGACUCCUACGGGAGGCAGCAGUGGGGAAUAUUGCACAAUGGGCGCAAGCCUGAUGCAGCGACGCCGCGUGGGGGAUGACGGCCUUCGGGUUGUAAACUCCUUUCGCUAGGGACGAAGCGUUUUGUGACGGUACCUGGAGAAGAAGCACCGGCUAACUACGUG